Molecule: long non-coding RNA, 493 nt
Organism: Saccostrea cuccullata (small rock oyster)
Lineage: Eukaryota; Metazoa; Mollusca; Bivalvia; Ostreida; Ostreidae
Exons: 3
Source: RefSeq, a predicted model, not a curated record
UUUCCUCCUGACAGUUGACAGGUCAAGGUGACUAUAGUUCCAGUGUCGUACUGAAGUCCUGGAGGGGAGGAUGUGAUGACAGGGAACUGUCCAUCUCCAAUGACAAAACAGAGACAGCUUUAGUAGUGUUACUCUGAUUGAUUCCUAUCAAAACUAAGUUUUUACAUCUCCAUGACAACGUGGCUACAGGGUUUCCUCCUGGUAGUUGACAGGUCAAGGUGACUGUAGUCCCGGUGUUAUACUGAAGUCCUGGAGGGGAGGCUGUGAUGACAGGCAGUUUUAUGGUAAUAAGACAGCGAUUAAACGGGUGGCUGGACGAAUAAACCACUCUUGAGUUGGCUCUGUUACACGACAACGUCAUCGUCAUGGUGGAUUGAAAACCUUCGAGGCCCUUUCUGACGACGGUUGAGAAGUCCUACGGGAUGAAAUUUACUAGCGACUGCACAGCAAGCCGUUGUUGCCUUUGUCCUUACUUAAUGAGAUGUGAAGCCAG